This 388-nucleotide ribosomal RNA is filed under the name uncultured bacterium. RNAcentral's name for it is "bacterial SSU rRNA". It matches the Rfam family "Bacterial small subunit ribosomal RNA", at positions 28 to 417 of the family's 1533-position model. The record is from RNAcentral.
AAUGAACGCUGGCGGCGUGCUUAACACAUGCAAGUCGAGCGAGGCCCUUCCUUCGGGAAGGUGCCCUAGCGGCGAACGGGUGAGUAACACGUGGGCAACCUGCCCCUAGCACUGGGAUAACUCCGGGAAACCGGGGCUAAUACCGGAUAUCACCUUUGAGGGCAUCCUCUUUGGUUGAAAGGAUUCUGGCUAGGGAUGGGCCCGCGGCCUAUCAGCUUGUUGGUGGGGUAAUGGCCUACCAAGGCGACGACGGGUAGCCGGCCUGAGAGGGCGACCGGCCACACUGGGACUGAGACACGGCCCAGACUCCUACGGGAGGCAGCAGUGGGGAAUAUUGCACAAUGGGCGAAAGCCUGAUGCAGCGACGCCGCGUGAGGGAUGACGGCCU